GAAUGUGAGGGCAAUCUCACUGCAAUAUCUGUAGUCCCAUUGAUCACUGUGGUUGAUUCUGCAGAUCUAGAUGCCUAGGAAGUUCUCCUCUUCCUCCUUCACUGCUCCACGUGCACCUCUCCAGAAGUUGUAGACUUGGUCAGACAAGAUGACCUUCCUCAAUAGAGGAGAACCAGUCUUCCAGCAGGGGUGGACCAGUAGCUGUACCUCCUCCCUAGAACCUCCAAACAAGCCCUUAAGUUUUUAUAUUUUAAUAUAUUAAUGGUUAUGACUCAUUUUUUUAUUUUAAUGGACCUGAGCUUUAUUGAGUGUGAUA
Non-coding RNA from Mus musculus (house mouse), 316 nucleotides. Lineage: Eukaryota; Metazoa; Chordata; Mammalia; Rodentia; Muridae. The record is from Rfam.